Molecule: long non-coding RNA, 227 nt
Organism: Setaria italica (foxtail millet)
Lineage: Eukaryota; Viridiplantae; Streptophyta; Magnoliopsida; Poales; Poaceae
Exons: 3
Source: RefSeq, a predicted model, not a curated record
CGCACGUCGUCUCCCUAUCGCCGCAUGUCCUGAGGUUGUACACAUAUAUUAGAUGAGAGCCGCUUGAUGACUCCGGUUAGCAGAUCUUUUGGGCACCAGUUUGGGCUUCAGAAGAGCAACUGUUUUUGGUACAAGCUAGGAGCGUGAGGGGAAACUCAGCCUGUUCUUGAUCAUCUCAUGUAAGAAGUUUGAUUCUUGCUUUACAUAAAUGAGUAGCCGGACCUUAC